CGCGAGUUCUAUCGGGUA
This 18-nucleotide small nuclear RNA is filed under the name Arabidopsis thaliana (thale cress). RNAcentral's name for it is "snRNA_08180". Lineage: Eukaryota; Viridiplantae; Streptophyta; Magnoliopsida; Brassicales; Brassicaceae. The record is from RNAcentral.